Molecule: ribosomal RNA, 468 nt
Filed under: uncultured bacterium
Lineage: Bacteria
Description: partial 16S ribosomal RNA
Rfam family: Bacterial small subunit ribosomal RNA
Source: RNAcentral
GACGAACGCUGGCGGCGUGCUUAACACAUGCAAGUCGAACGGAAAGGCCCUGCUUUUGUGGGGUGCUCGAGUGGCGAACGGGUGAGUAACACGUGAGUAACCUGCCCUUGACUUUGGGAUAACUUCAGGAAACUGGGGCUAAUACCGGAUAGGAUCUCCUGCUGCAUGGUGGGGGUUGGAACGUUUCGGCGGUUGGGGAUGGACUCGCGGCUUAUCAGCUUGUUGGUGGGGUAGUGGAUUACCAAGGCUUUGACGGGUAGCCGGCCUGAGAGGGUGACCGGCAACAUUGGGACUGAGAUACGGCCCAGACUCCUACGGGAGGCAGCAGUGGGGAAUAUUGCACAAUGGGAGGAAGCCUGAUGCAGCAACGCAGCGUGCGGGAUGACGGCCUUCGGGUUGUAAACAGCUUUAGCCUGUGACGAAGCGUGAGUGACGGUAAUGGGUAAAGAAGCACCGGCUAACUACGUG